CUCUGACAGGAGGGACCAUAAGGGCUGUAGGAAGAAAUCGUAGUCUUCCUGGCUCCCUCAAUGCUUUCAUCAGUACCUUCCGGUGGCGAGGGAUGGUCAAUAAUGUUGUACUAACUGCAGAAGAUUUCAGAGGCCGAUGCCUAUCCAAAGCCAACACGGCGCGUUUCACCGGCUGAGAAACAAAGAAAGAUGGCGGUGCCCUUUGUACACUUUAGAGCAGAGACGUUACUCUGGAGCAGGGGUUAAAUUUCAGCCCCACCUGAGAUGUCAGACUCUGAAUGCAGGACUCACCAUUUGUAAACUGGACUAAAUAUCCUUAUUAUAUCAAAUGAAAUAAUUCUGAAGAGGCAAGAGAAGAAGGGCCCUAUUGCUAGGAAAACUAAGAAUUUGUUGCCAGCAGACGUGCUCAAAAAAGAAUUGAUAAAGGAGACGCUGAGAAAAAAGAAAUAAUGGAAGGAAAUAUAUGUAACAUCAGGAAUGAAGAAAAAGGAAUGGAAAAGGUAAAGACAUCAUCAAAUACAAUAGACUAGUCUCCUUUUGAGUUUUUACAAUUAUGUUGAAUAGUUGAAAGCAAACGUGACAACUUUACCUGAUAUGGUUCUCAGUGUAUGUAGAAGUGUUGAAUAUCAUUUGCUGUUAUGGAAUUGUAAAGUAAGGCCAUCAUUAUAUAUUCCCCCAUACCUGAUAGGAUGGCUGGAAUCAUAUAUGACACUGCCAAGUGCUAGAAAAGACAUGGAAUAGCCAGAGCAUUCAUACAUUACUGGUGGGAAUGUAAAUUAGUAUAGCCACUCUGGAAAAGUUUGGCAUUUUCUUAUAAAGUUAAACACAGACGUAACGUAUGACUCCUACAUAUCCCAAAGAAACAAAUUCUUAUAUUCACAUAAAAUUGGGUACACAGAGACCUAAAUAGACAUUUCUCCAAAGAAGAUGUACAGAUGGCCAACAAACACAUGAAAAGAUGCUCAACAUCACUAAUUAUUAGAGAAAUGCAAAUCAAAACUACGAUGAGAUAUCACCUCACACCAGUCAGAAUGGCCAUCAUCAAAAAAUAUACAAACAGUAAGUGCUGGAGAGGGUAUGGAGAAAAGGGAACCCUCAAACACCAUUGGUGUGAAUGUAAAUUAAUACAACCACUAUGGAAAACAGUAUGGAGGUUCCUUAAAAAACUAAAAAUGGAACUACCAUAUGACCCAGUAAUCCCACUACUGGGCAUAUACUGAGAGAAAACCAUAACUCCAAAAGACACAUGCACCCCAAUGUUCAUAGCAACACUAUUUACAAUAGCCAGGACAUGGAGGCAACCUAAAUGUCCAUCAACAGAGGAAUGGAUAAAGAUGAUGUGAUACAUAUAUAUAAUGGAAUAUUACUCAGCCAUAAAAAUGAAAUUGGGUCAUUUGUAGAGACGUGGAUGGGCCUAGACAGUGUCAUAGACGGUGUCAUACAGAUGGAAGUAAGUCAGAAAGAGGAAAGCAAAUAUUGUAUAAUGCAUAUAUGUGGAAUCUAGAAAAAUGGUAUAAACGAUCUUAUUUGCAAAGCAGAAAUAGAGACACAGACGUAGAGAAAAAAUGGAUACCAAGGGGGAAAGGGGUGGGGAGGGAGGAACUGGGAAACUGGGAUUGACACAUACAUUAUUCACACUAUGUAUAAAACAGACAACUGAUGGAAACAUACUGCAUAGCAUAGGGAACUCUAAUGCACUGUGAUAACCUAAAUGGGAGGGAGGUCCAAAAGGGAGGGGAUAUCUGUAUGUGUAUGGCUGAUUCAUUUUGCACAACAUUGUAAAGCAAGUAUAAAAAUUAAUAAAUUUAUCCAAUAAAACAAUAUCCAAUAAAAAUAAAGAAAAAAAAUUGGGUACACAGAUGUUCAUAGGUUUUUAUUCAAAACAG
Hippopotamus amphibius kiboko is the source of this 1886-nucleotide long non-coding RNA. RefSeq lists it as uncharacterized. The transcript is spliced from 3 exons. The record is from RefSeq and is a predicted model, not a curated record. Lineage: Eukaryota; Metazoa; Chordata; Mammalia; Artiodactyla; Hippopotamidae.